CUGGGCUGGGCUGGGGUGUGACCCCGUGUAUAUAAGGAGCUGCUAGGAGCCCUUCACCCCUGCAGUGUGACCUUUCCCCACCAGGCACAGAGCAGGUUGCUCUCAGCAAGUGACAUCAGAGACAUGAGUCCCACCUGGGUCCAGCACCUCACUGUCCUGGGGACGCUGCUGGGAGCCUGCUACACCAGUACGGAUAUGGCAGGUCCCUGGUGCUACGAAGACGCAGAAUGCGGUAAGAGAACCCAUCCAUUCCCUGCAACACAGAUAUCCACCCUCCGAUCUCACCCUGUGCAGGAGUUAAUUACGGUUUUCCCACAUUUGGAUGGGUGGGGAAACUGAGGCACAGAGAAGGGCAGGGUCAGCGUUCUAGUUUUAGGGAUAGAACCCCGGAGUCCUCGCUCCCAACCUCACCCCCUGCUCUAAACCACAAGACUCUAACCUCAUCCCAGAGCCUUGUGUUAAACCCAGGAGCCUCCCUUGCUCUAACUCACUAGAUGGCAUUCACCAACCAUAGUUGCAGAGGGAACCCAGGAGUCCUGACUCCCAGUUCCCCCACUUUAUCCCACCAGAGCCCACUCCCC
Molecule: long non-coding RNA, 581 nt
Organism: Chelonoidis abingdonii (Abingdon island giant tortoise)
Lineage: Eukaryota; Metazoa; Chordata; Testudines; Testudinidae
Source: RefSeq, a predicted model, not a curated record